CCCGGACAGUUUUGAGUAUUUCAGUUCCUGGAGACUGCAGCCCCUCAGGACAACCUGUGCAGGAAAGGUGUGAAAAUGCCUCUGAUCCGCUUUUUGGCCCUGCUGUGGACCUGUUGAUAUGGCCAUGUCUUUCUGGUGCUGGGCUCCACAGAGCUGGACACAGUCUUCCAGAUUCAACAUGGAGGAGAAUGACUGGGUGUAGCUGGUCUAGUUUUCCCAUUUAACUGUUUUGAUUUGGGAAGGAGGUACACUGUUCUUGAAGAAUGACUUCAGAUAGUGUUCUUGUCCUUUGCUGUUAUGG
This is a long non-coding RNA of Melospiza georgiana, 301 nucleotides long. RefSeq lists it as uncharacterized. The transcript is spliced from 3 exons. The record is from RefSeq and is a predicted model, not a curated record. NCBI's taxonomy places the organism in Eukaryota, Metazoa, Chordata, Aves, Passeriformes, Passerellidae.